This is a non-coding RNA of Camellia sinensis, 261 nucleotides long. Lineage: Eukaryota; Viridiplantae; Streptophyta; Magnoliopsida; Ericales; Theaceae. The record is from RefSeq and is a predicted model, not a curated record.
GUAGUGAAGGAAGGAACUCAAGGCUUGAGAAUUGAAGGAAGAACAAAGGAGAAGAGGGUUUUGUGGGAUACCAAGAGUCAAGCAAAAAAAUUGUGGAAAAAUCAUCAUAAGGAUUGGAGGGAGGCGUCUCUACACCUCUUGGGAAUUAAUUCGUAGAGUUUCAAUCUAUCCUUUUGCUAAUUUGGAGAUUCCUAGACUUUUGUGUGGCUCGCCUCAACUUGGAAGAUUAGAGUUUCUGGAGGAUCAAUGGUGAACAUCUGG